UUUGGAUGUCUGCAUAAAAGCAGACUUGUUUUUUUUUCUCUCCACUUCUGGCUCCUGGAAAUAAUAUUCUCUUAACCUUUUGGAAUUAAACCAGCCAAAUAGAGUGUAACAUGUUUCUUAAUCAUUUGGGCCACCUUCUCCUUUCUGAAUGGAUGUUGGUUUCAGUGGGAAUGUUUUCUGUGGUUGUGGAUCAUUGAGAAGAUGGUGCUGAUUUGCUCUGGUAAGCUGAAGGAACAACCAGGCACGUGGCAUGAAGUGAAAUAAGGACAAAUGCAAGAGACAUCCUGGAGACAGGCAACUGAGGACAAAGAAAGUCUGUGGGGAAAGGGUGGUGAACCAGGUGCCCACCUGCCAGCAUUAUUGCUGAGGCACAUCUCAGCCAGGCCAUCAAGCUCCAGAUGAUCCUCAGUGAGGGAUACCGCUCUCUCAGUAUUCAAGAGUCACCCUUCCACAGAGAAGCCCUAGACUGCCCAUCAGUGGAAUAUGAGAGAGGUAAAAUCCUGCCCCUGUCUCCUUCUGACCUGGCUGGAUACCAUUUUCACCAACAGAUUCACCCACACAGUCACCCUGCCUUGACAGCUAGCAAGAGGCCAAGACACACAGAACAACGACUACCACCCCUCUGACAGCAGGAAGCAGUUACAGAAGACUGACCUUUGUCCAUUUUCCCAAAGAAUUGGGUCUUGGACUCUUGGGGGCAGGAAUGUUAGAGUAGGUAGUUAGGCAGAUGUGAGGAAGGCAGGGGAGGACCCCCCACCCCAGGAAUGUCAGGCGACCAUCACGUGAUGUCAGGUGGUUUUUAAACUGUCUCUCUGAAAUGAUAAUUGGUUGCAGCUGGCUCCAGGGUAAGACAGUCUCCCAGUAGACAGAAAACACCUAGAGCUGGUGAUCAGCAACUUCCCAAUAAGAUCUCAGAAGCUGGGCAAGUGGGCUGAAGCAUGUGAACUAAGAAGCAAAAUGACUGAUGUAUGAUGUUCCCCUGGGGGUGUUUGCCCCCAGAGAGUAUGUGCCCAAUCUUAGUAAAUGCACUGUACAUGUGGUCACCCUCCCAAAUGCUGACCGACAUUGCACAUGCAGUAGUUGAGCAACAGACUGCCCCAAGGGAAGAUUCAAUGGAGGAGAAAAGAAAACCCCAGAGCCAUGUCAAUGUAUAAAACCCCAAGUCAAAGGCUGAACUAGACACUUGGACCUCUUAAGUUGCCUGCUUGGCCCUCUUCCAA
RNAcentral lists this long non-coding RNA (1220 nucleotides) under Homo sapiens (human). RNAcentral's name for it is "HSALNT0163535". Lineage: Eukaryota; Metazoa; Chordata; Mammalia; Primates; Hominidae. The record is from RNAcentral.